RNAcentral lists this ribosomal RNA (254 nucleotides) under uncultured bacterium. Its description in RNAcentral is "partial 16S ribosomal RNA". It matches the Rfam family "Bacterial small subunit ribosomal RNA", at positions 524 to 776 of the family's 1533-position model. The record is from RNAcentral.
UACGUAGGGGCCAAGCGUUGUCCGGAUUUAUUGGGCGUAAAGAGCUCGUAGGCGGUUGGGUAAGUCGGGUGUGAAAACUCCAGGCUCAACUUGGAGAUGCCACCCGAUACUGCUCUGACUUGAGUUCGGUAGGGGAGUGGGGAAUUCCUGGUGUAGCGGUGAAAUGCGCAGAUAUCAGGAGGAACACCGGUGGCGAAGGCGCCACUCUGGGCCGAAACUGACGCUGAGGAGCGAAAGCGUGGGUAGCAAACAGG